ACUCCUACGGGAGGCAGCAGUGGGGAAUAUUGGACAAUGGGCGCAAGCCUGAUCCAGCCAUGCCGCGUGAGUGAUGAAGGCCCUAGGGUUGUAAAGCUCUUUUGUGCGGGAAGAUAAUGACGGUACCGCAAGAAUAAGCCCCGGCUAACUUCGUGCCAGCAGCCGCGGUAAUACGAAGGGGGCUAGCGUUGCUCGGAAUCACUGGGCGUAAAGGGUGCGUAGGCGGGUCUUUAAGUCAGGGGUGAAAUCCUGGAGCUCAACUCCAGAACUGCCUUUGAUACUGAAGAUCUUGAGUUCGGGAGAGGUGAGUGGAACUGCGAGUGUAGAGGUGAAAUUCGUAGAUAUUCGCAAGAACACCAGUGGCGAAGGCGGCUCACUGGCCCGAUACUGACGCUGAGGCACGAAAGCGUGGGGAGCAAACAGGAUUAGAUA
Molecule: ribosomal RNA, 432 nt
Filed under: uncultured bacterium
Lineage: Bacteria
Description: bacterial SSU rRNA
Rfam family: Bacterial small subunit ribosomal RNA
Source: RNAcentral